AGGGGACAGAAAAUGGGGUGAAAAGGGGACAGAAACGGGGACAAGAGGACAGAAGAUGGAGGGACGAUGUGACAGAAAUUGGAGGGAAACGUGGCAGAAAAGAGGGUGAACGGGAGAGAGAAAAGGCAGGAAGUGGGGACAGAAAUUGGAGGGAAGAGGUGUCAGAAAAUGGAGGGAAACGUGGCAGAAAAGAGAGUGAACAGGAGACAGAAAAGGCAGGAAGUGGGGACAGAAAUUGGAGGGAAGAGGUAACAGAAACGGGGGGAAAGGUGACAGAAAAUGAAGGGAAGAGGUGACAGAAAUUGAAGGAAAACGUGACAGGAAAGAGGGUGAAAAGGGGACAGAAAAGGCAGGAAGUGGGGACAGAAAAUGGAGGGAAGAGGUGUCAGAAAAUGGAGGGAAGAGGGGACAGAAAUGAGGGGAAAGAGGGGACAGAAAAUGGAGGGAAGAGGGGACAGAAACGAGGGGGAAGAGGGGACAGAAGAUGGAGGGAUGAUGUGACAGAAAUUGGAGGGAAACAUGACAGAAAAGAGGGUGAACAGGAGACAGAAAAGGCAGGAAGUGGGGACAGAAAUUGGAGGCGAAAGGGGACAAAUUGGAGGGAAGAGCUGACAGAAAAUGGAGGGAAGAGGUGACAAAAUGGAGGGAAACGUGACAGAAAAUGGGGGGAAGAGGGCACAUAAAAGGUGGGAAGACUGACAGAAAAGAUGCGAAAGAGGUGACAGAAAAUGGAGGAGGAAGAGGUGAUAGAAAAUGGGGAAAAGGGGACAGAAAAGGGGCAAGAGGUGGCAGAAAAUGGAGAGGGAACAGAAAAA
This is a long non-coding RNA of Harpia harpyja (harpy eagle), 815 nucleotides long. RefSeq lists it as uncharacterized. The record is from RefSeq and is a predicted model, not a curated record. NCBI's taxonomy places the organism in Eukaryota, Metazoa, Chordata, Aves, Accipitriformes, Accipitridae. The transcript is spliced from 3 exons.